GACGAACGCUGGCGGCGUGCUUAACACAUGCAAGUCGAACGGAAAGGCCCUGCUUUUGUGGGGUGCUCGAGUGGCGAACGGGUGAGUAACACGUGAGUAACCUGCCCUUGACUUUGGGAUAACUUCAGGAAACUGGGGCUAAUACCGGAUAGGAGCUCCUGCUGCAUGGUGGGGGUUGGAAAGUUUCGGCGGUUGGGGAUGGACUCGCGGCUUAUCAGCUUGUUGGUGGGGUAGUGGCUUACCCAGGCUUUGAUGGGUAGCCGGCCUGAGAGGGUGACCGGCCACAUUGGGACUGAGAUACGGCCCAGACUCCUACGGGAGGCAGCAGUGGGGAAUAUUGCACAAUGGGCGGAAGCCUGAUGCAGCAACGCCGCGUGCGGGAUGACGGCCUUCGGGUUGUAAACCGCUUUCGCCUGUGACGAAGCGUGAGUGACGGUAAUGGGUAAAGAAGCACCGGCUAACUACGUG
This 468-nucleotide ribosomal RNA is filed under the name uncultured bacterium. Its description in RNAcentral is "partial 16S ribosomal RNA". It matches the Rfam family "Bacterial small subunit ribosomal RNA", at positions 28 to 507 of the family's 1533-position model. The record is from RNAcentral.